Molecule: ribosomal RNA, 468 nt
Filed under: uncultured bacterium
Lineage: Bacteria
Description: partial 16S ribosomal RNA
Rfam family: Bacterial small subunit ribosomal RNA
Source: RNAcentral
GACGAACGCUGUCGGCGUGCUUAACACAUGUAAGUCGAACGGACAGGCCCUGCUUUUGUGGGGUGCUCGCGUGGCGAACGGGUGAGUAACACGUGAGACACCUGCCCUUGACUUUGGGAUAACUUCAGGAAACUGGGGCUAAUACCGGUUAGGAGCUCCUGCUGCAUUGUGGGGGUUGGAAAGUUUCGGCGGUUGGGGAUGGACUCGCGGCUGAUCAGCUUGUUGGUGGGGUAGUGGCUUACCAAGGCUUUGACGGGUAGCCGGCCUGAGAGGGUGACCGGCCACAGUGCGACUGAGAUACGGCACAGACUCCUACGGGAGGCAGAAGUGGGGAAUAUUGCACAAGGGGCGGAAGCCUGAUGCAGCAACGCCGCGUGCGGGAUGACGGCCUUCGGGUUGUAAACCGCGUUCGCCUGUGACGAAGCGUGAGUGACGGUAAUGGGUAAAGAAGCACCGGCUAACUACGUG